Molecule: ribosomal RNA, 159 nt
Filed under: Colletotrichum fuscum
Lineage: Eukaryota; Fungi; Ascomycota; Sordariomycetes; Glomerellales; Glomerellaceae
Description: 5.8S ribosomal RNA
Rfam family: 5.8S ribosomal RNA
About the family: 5.8S ribosomal RNA (5.8S rRNA) is a component of the large subunit of the eukaryotic ribosome. It is transcribed by RNA polymerase I as part of the 45S precursor that also contains 18S and 28S rRNA. Functionally, it is thought that 5.8S rRNA may be involved in ribosome translocation.
Source: RNAcentral
AAAACUUUUAACAACGGAUCUCUUGGUUCUGGCAUCGAUGAAGAACGCAGCGAAAUGCGAUAAGUAAUGUGAAUUGCAGAAUUCAGUGAAUCAUCGAAUCUUUGAACGCACAUUGCGCCCGCCAGCAUUCUGGCGGGCAUGCCUGCUCGAGCGUCAUUU